This 67-nucleotide non-coding RNA is filed under the name Gammaproteobacteria bacterium. Lineage: Bacteria; Pseudomonadati; Pseudomonadota; Gammaproteobacteria. The record is from RNAcentral.
AGCCGAAACGCUCCUUCGGGAGCGUCGUCGCAGGGUGUUGCCUGCGGCCUGAUGAUGGCAGACAUCU